Molecule: long non-coding RNA, 289 nt
Organism: Rhipicephalus sanguineus (brown dog tick)
Lineage: Eukaryota; Metazoa; Arthropoda; Arachnida; Ixodida; Ixodidae
Exons: 3
Source: RefSeq, a predicted model, not a curated record
GUACUCCCGCUGCAGGUGGCGACUUGUGGAACCCAGAGGAGUACCUUCUUGUUGAUCGCCACGUGUUGGGAGCGGCUAGAGAACGUCACUACAGUAUUCUGCAUGUUAUUCACCAGUUAUUUUUCCUUUCACGUCUGUUAUGCUGAAAGAUUGUAGUCUACUUUGGAAUUCGUUCAAAGGGCACUUUUGGUAUUAACCCAGACCAUGGAAGCAAGGCUGAGAAAAAAAGCAAGGAAAGAGAACCCAAAAAUAUUCAGUUUGACGAAAAAAUCAUGGAUUCUGAAUGGAA